Molecule: ribosomal RNA, 1372 nt
Filed under: uncultured bacterium
Lineage: Bacteria
Description: bacterial SSU rRNA
Rfam family: Bacterial small subunit ribosomal RNA
Source: RNAcentral
GAUGAACGCUGGCGGCGUGCCUAAUACAUGCAAGUCGAGCGAACGGACGAGAAGCUUGCUUCUCUGAUGUUAGCGGCGGACGGGUGAGUAACACGUGGAUAACCUACCUAUAAGACUGGGAUAACUUCGGGAAACCGGAGCUAAUACCGGAUAAUAUUUUGAACCGCAUGGUUCAAAAGUGAAAGACGGUCUUGCUGUCACUUAUAGAUGGAUCCGCGCUGCAUUAGCUAGUUGGUAAGGUAACGGCUUACCAAGGCAACGAUGCAUAGCCGACCUGAGAGGGUGAUCGGCCACACUGGAACUGAGACACGGUCCAGACUCCUACGGGAGGCAGCAGUAGGGAAUCUUCCGCAAUGGGCGAAAGCCUGACGGAGCAACGCCGCGUGAGUGAUGAAGGUCUUCGGAUCGUAAAACUCUGUUAUUAGGGAAGAACAUAUGUGUAAGUAACUGUGCACAUCUUGACGGUACCUAAUCAGAAAGCCACGGCUAACUACGUGCCAGCAGCCGCGGUAAUACGUAGGUGGCAAGCGUUAUCCGGAAUUAUUAGGCGUAAAGCGCGCGUAGGCGGUUUUUUAAGUCUGAUGUGAAAGCCCACGGCUCAACCGUGGAGGGUCAUUGGAAACCGGAAAACUUGAGUGCAGAAGAGGAAAGUGGAAUUCCAUGUGUAGCGGUGAAAUGCGCAGAGAUAUGGAGGAACACCAGUGGCGAAGGCGACUUUCUGGUCUGUAACUGACGCUGAUGUGCGAAAGCGUGGGGAUCAAACAGGAUUAGAUACCCUGGUAGUCCACGCCGUAAACGAUGAGUGCUAAGUGUUAGGGGGUUUCCGCCCCUUAGUGCUGCAGCUAACGCAUUAAGCACUCCGCCUGGGGAGUACGACCGCAAGGUUGAAACUCAAAGGAAUUGACGGGGACCCGCACAAGCGGUGGAGCAUGUGGUUUAAUUCGAAGCAACGCGAAGAACCUUACCAAAUCUUGACAUCCUUUGACAACUCUAGAGAUAGAGCUUUCCCCUUCGGGGGACAAAGUGACAGGUGGUGCAUGGUUGUCGUCAGCUCGUGUCGUGAGAUGUUGGGUUAAGUCCCGCAACGAGCGCAACCCUUAAGCUUAGUUGCCAUCAUUAAGUUGGGCACUCUAAGUUGACUGCCGGUGACAAACCGGAGGAAGGUGGGGAUGACGUCAAAUCAUCAUGCCCCUUAUGAUUUGGGCUACACACGUGCUACAAUGGACAAUACAAAGGGCAGCGAAACCGCGAGGUCAAGCAAAUCCCAUAAAGUUGUUCUCAGUUCGGAUUGUAGUCUGCAACUCGACUACAUGAAGCUGGAAUCGCUAGUAAUCGUAGAUCAGCAUGCUACGGUGAAUACGUUCCCGGGUCU